RNAcentral lists this long non-coding RNA (2021 nucleotides) under Canis lupus familiaris (dog). RNAcentral describes it as "lncRNA (ENSCAFG00805011576.1, ENSCAFG00845012805.1)". The record is from RNAcentral. Lineage: Eukaryota; Metazoa; Chordata; Mammalia; Carnivora; Canidae.
UUUUUUAUUUUUAAUUAUAUGUAUAUUAUAAAAUGAGACCUGUACAUUGUAAAAUAUUUGAAAAAUAAACACAAGGGAAAUAUAUACAAGAAAAAAUAAAAUUAUCUUCUCCAUCCAGACCUUUUAUGCCUUUAUAUUUAGUGUGUACAGCAUAUAGUUUGGUCAGCCUAUGUGCAACUAUGACAGCCGUCUUUUUUUUUUAAUUAGACUAUUUAGUACUUUAAAAUAAGAUAAUUAUUGACAUGGUUUUAUGGCUAUUAUCUUACUAUUUAUUUUUUUUUGUCCACCAAUUCUUCCCCCCCCCCCCUUCUUGCCUUCUUUUGGGUUGAAAACAUUUUAUUAUUCCAUUUUGUCUUGUCUAUUGUUUUUUUCACUCUGCCCCACCCUGCUUUUUCUGGUUUCUUUAUGAAUUACAACAUGUAUCACAGUAGUCUAUCUUGCAGGUUAUUUUAUGCACAAUUUAAGGAACUUAAAUUGGUAUACUUCCAUUUUCUUCUAGCCCUUUAUACAAUUGUCAUACAUUUCAUUCCCCCUCUCUCCCUCUCUUUCAGAAUACAUUAUUUAAUACAAGCAACUAUCUUUUGAACAAAUUCAAAAAUUGAUUUUUAAAAAGGACUUUUAUAGUUGCCACUUAUUUACCAUACUCAGCCCUCUUCAUUUGCUGGUAUAGAUGCUAAUUUCCAUCUGGUAUCAAUAUCAUUUAGCCUAAACUAAUCUGCUUCAACAUUCACAAAGUGCAAGACUGCUAGUGAUAGUCUCUGAGUAAAUUUUGUUCACGAAAAAACAUCUUUAUGUUGUCUGUGUUUUUGAAUGGUAUUUGAAGGACACUGAUUUCUGGACUUUGAGUUCUAUUUCAACAAUUUUUUAAAAUUUUGCUUUUAAUAAUUUACUUCACUAGUUGUUUUUUAUGAAAAAUAUGAGGCCAUAGUUAUAGUUUCUCUGGAAGUAGUAUGGUAUCCCCUUCUGUCUGCUUUUAAAAAGUCCUUUAUAUUUGGUCUACAGCAGUUUGACCAUGUUGUAUUUUUGUGUGGCUUUUUUUUUUUCCUUUACCUUGCUUAGGGAUUGUGGAGAUUCUUAAAUCUACAGGUUGAUUUUUUUUUUAGUCAAAAAAAAUGCUAGGCCACUAUUUAUUUACUUACCCCAUUGACUUUCUAUCUGUUACGGGAUUCUACUGCUUGACAUUAUUGUCACACAGGCGUAUGAGUGUCUUUUAAUUUUUCUUUAAUUUGUUUUCUGUGUGCCUCAGUUUCAGUGAUUUCUAUUUUUCCAUCUUCAAGUUGAUUGAUAAUGCAUUUUACAAUAUCCUAUUAAGCCAUCCAGUACUUUCUUGUAUUUUUUAAAAAGUUUGGAUAGAUUGUAGUUUUCAGUGCUAGAAUUUUCAUUCAGUUCUUUUUUAUAAUUAUCAUUUCUCUAUUGCGAUUUCCCUUCAUUCAUUACAGUUAGAUUUUUCUUUAUGCUUUUAUUUAAAACUGCAAAAUAAACUAUUGAAGAAGUUAAUUCUGACAUGUCAUCUCUGUUUCUAAUGAUUGUUUUUCUUGUUUGGUUUUGAAUCACAUUUUGCUGUUCUUUCAGAUAUCUAGUAAAUAUUUAUUAUAUAUUCUGCAUAGUGUUUAUUGUUGACAAAUUGAUUUUUGUGUUUCCUUAAAGUAUUGAGUUUUUGUUUUGGCUUGUUUUUCUGGAAAGCAAUUAACCCACUGAUACAUCAUCUUGAUUAUCUCCAGUCGUGUUUUUCAGUUUGUUCGUUUUUUAUUGUAGUUCUAGAGUAACCUUAAUUCUAGGACUAUAGAAGCCCUUCCACAAAGGCUUUUCUGGAUUGUGUGUCUUUUCUGAAAUCUCAAUGAACUGACUAGAGUGUUCACAUGAAAUUUGGUUUGCUAUACCUGGUGUGUUCUCUAGUUGUUCAGUUUUUUUUUUCCUAAGCAAAACCUUGCAGAAUAUUACCUGAGGCAUAUGCAGUUCAAUCUUCAGCAAAAGACAUAAGAGAACUCCUCUGCAGAGCCCUGGAGCUUUUUGCUUUAUGC